UCCCUGGUGGCUCAGAUGGUAAAGCGUCUGCCUGCAAUGCGGGAGACCCAGGUUCAAUCCAUGGGUUGGGAA
Bos taurus (domestic cattle) is the source of this 72-nucleotide non-coding RNA. The record is from Rfam. Lineage: Eukaryota; Metazoa; Chordata; Mammalia; Artiodactyla; Bovidae.